CCACUGGAUUGCUGACAGAUAGAGGA
Molecule: non-coding RNA, 26 nt
Filed under: Homo sapiens (human)
Lineage: Eukaryota; Metazoa; Chordata; Mammalia; Primates; Hominidae
Source: RNAcentral